RNAcentral lists this transfer RNA (74 nucleotides) under Setaria italica (foxtail millet). It matches the Rfam family "tRNA". From Rfam's summary of the family: Transfer RNA (tRNA) molecules are approximately 80 nucleotides in length. The record is from Rfam by way of RNAcentral. Lineage: Eukaryota; Viridiplantae; Streptophyta; Magnoliopsida; Poales; Poaceae.
AAGGAUGUAGCUAGAUUGGUAUAGCACUAUGUAUGACAUUCUAGAGGGUUGGGGUUCAAUUCCUCGCAUCUUCA